UACGUAGGGUGCAAGCGUUAAUCGGAAUUACUGGGCGUAAAGCGUGCGCAGGCGGUUUUGUAAGUCUGUCGUGAAAUCCCCGGGCUCAACCUGGGAAUUGCGAUGGAGACUGCAAGGCUAGAAUCUGGCAGAGGGGGGUAGAAUUCCACGUGUAGCAGUGAAAUGCGUAGAGAUGCGGAGGAACACCGAUGGCGAAGGCAGGCCCCCUGGGCCUGACACUGGACGCUGAGGCACGAAAGCGUGGGGAGCAAACAGGA
RNAcentral lists this ribosomal RNA (257 nucleotides) under uncultured bacterium. RNAcentral's name for it is "partial 16S ribosomal RNA". It matches the Rfam family "Bacterial small subunit ribosomal RNA", at positions 524 to 777 of the family's 1533-position model. The record is from RNAcentral.